RNAcentral lists this ribosomal RNA (496 nucleotides) under uncultured bacterium. Its description in RNAcentral is "partial 16S ribosomal RNA". It matches the Rfam family "Bacterial small subunit ribosomal RNA", at positions 28 to 506 of the family's 1533-position model. The record is from RNAcentral.
GAUGAACGCUGGCGGCGUGCCUAAUACAUGCAAGUCGAGCGAACAGAUGAGGAGCUUGCUCCUCUGACGUUAGCGGCGGACGGGUGAGUAACACGUGGAUAACCUACCUAUAAGACUGGGAUAACUUCGGGAAACCGGAGCUAAUACCGGAUAAUAUAUUGAACCGCAUGGUUCAAUAGUGAAAGACGGUUUUGCUGUCACUUAUAGAUGGAUCCGCGCCGCAUUAGCUAGUUGGUAAGGUAACGGCUUACCAAGGCGACGAUGCGUAGCCGACCUGAGAGGGUGAUCGGCCACACUGGAACUGAGACACGGUCCAGACUCCUACGGGAGGCAGCAGUAGGGAAUCUUCCGCAAUGGGCGAAAGCCUGACGGAGCAACGCCGCGUGAGUGAUGAAGGUCUUCGGAUCGUAAAACUCUGUUAUUAGGGAAGAACAAAUGUGUAAGUAACGAUGCACGUCUUGACGGUACCUAAUCAGAAAGCCACGGCGAACUACGU